GCGAUCCGCGCCUGCGGAGGAGUUUUACAAAGAGCACUGUCCCUCCACACAGCGCACGCAACAAAGGACAUGGACAACCUUUUUCAGUUGGUACACAGGAGCACCGUAUUUUGCAGGAAUCUCAGCUCUGAAAGUGUGACAGUUCUGACGCUGUUGAGGAGGUGGAGAAAUGGCUCCCCAGGCUGCAUGCCCUUGUCGUGGGACCUGGCCUAGGUAGGGACGACCUUCUUCUCAACAACGUGAGGGGCAUCUUGGAAUCAACCAAGGCCAGGGACAUCCCUGUCGUCAUUGACGCGGACGGCCUGUGGCUGAUUGCUCAGCGGCCAGCCCUCGU
Molecule: long non-coding RNA, 334 nt
Filed under: Rattus norvegicus (Norway rat)
Lineage: Eukaryota; Metazoa; Chordata; Mammalia; Rodentia; Muridae
Description: long non-coding RNA NONRATT012155
Source: RNAcentral